This 683-nucleotide ribosomal RNA is filed under the name uncultured bacterium. RNAcentral describes it as "bacterial SSU rRNA". It matches the Rfam family "Bacterial small subunit ribosomal RNA", at positions 10 to 693 of the family's 1533-position model. The record is from RNAcentral.
AGUUUGAUCCUGGCUCAGGAUGAACGCUGGCGGCGUGCUUAACACAUGCAAGUCGAGCGAAGCACUUUUUUAGAACUCUUCGGAGGGAAGAGAGGGUGACUUAGCGGCGGACGGGUGAGUAACGCGUGGGCAACCUGCCUUACACAGGGGGAUAACAAUUAGAAAUGAUUGCUAAUACCGCAUAAGACCCCGGUACCGCAUGGUACAGAGGUAAAAACUGAGGUGGUGUAAGAUGGGCCCGCGUCUGAUUAGGUAGUUGGUGGGGUAGAAGCCUACCAAGCCGACGAUCAGUAGCCGACCUGAGAGGGCGACCGGCCACAUUGGGACUGAGACACGGCCCAAACUCCUACGGGAGGCAGCAGUGGGGAAUAUUGCACAAUGGGGGAAACCCUGAUGCAGCGACGCCGCGUGAGUGAGGAAGUAUUUCGGUAUGUAAAGCUCUAUCAGCAGGGAAGAAAAUGACGGUACCUGACUAAGAAGCCCCGGCUAACUACGUGCCAGCAGCCGCGGUAAUACGUAGGGGGCAAGCGUUAUCCGGAUUUACUGGGUGUAAAGGGAGCGUAGACGGAUAAGCAAGUCUGAUGUGAAAAUCCGGGGCCCAACCCCGGAAUUGCAUUGGAAACUGCAUAUCUAGAGUGUCGGAGAGGCAAGUGGAAUUCCUGGUGUAGCGGUGAAAUGCGUAG